ACACGUAGGGGGCGAGCGUUGUCCGGAAUUACUGGGCGUAAAGGGCGUGUAGGCGGCCUUUCAAGUCAGGUGUGAAAUUCCAGGGCUCAACCCUGGGCGUGCACUUGAAACUGGGGGGCUUGAGUGCAGGAGAGGAAAGUGGAAUUCCCAGUGUAGCGGUGAAAUGCGUAGAUAUUGGGAGGAACACCAGUGGCGAAGGCGACUUUCUGGCCUGUAACUGACGCUGAGGCGCGAAAGCUAGGGGAGCAAACAGGAUUAGAUACCCUGGUAGUCCUAGCCGUAAACGAUGGGUACUAGGUGUAGGGGGUUUAGACGCCCUCUGUGCCGCAGUUAACACAUUAAGUACCCCGCCUGGGGAGUACGGCCGCAAGGCUGAA
This 377-nucleotide ribosomal RNA is filed under the name uncultured bacterium. Its description in RNAcentral is "bacterial SSU rRNA". It matches the Rfam family "Bacterial small subunit ribosomal RNA", at positions 523 to 898 of the family's 1533-position model. The record is from RNAcentral.